Molecule: ribosomal RNA, 301 nt
Filed under: uncultured bacterium
Lineage: Bacteria
Description: partial 16S ribosomal RNA
Rfam family: Bacterial small subunit ribosomal RNA
Source: RNAcentral
CAGCCGCCGCGGUAAUACGGAGGGAGCUAGCGUUGUUCGGAAUUACUGGGCGCAAAGCGCGCGUAGGCGGUUACUCAAGUCAGAGGUGAAAGCCCGGGGCUCAACCCCGGAACUGCCUUUGAAACUAGGUGACUAGAAUCUUGGAGAGGUCAGUGGAAUUCCGAGUGUAGAGGUGAAAUUCGUAGAUAUUCGGAAGAACACCAGUGGCGAAGGCGACUGACUGGACAAGUAUUGACGCUGAGGUGCGAAAGCGUGGGGAGCAAACAGGAUUAGAUACCCCUGUAGUCCCUGUCUCUUAUAA